Molecule: ribosomal RNA, 463 nt
Filed under: uncultured Desulfobulbus sp.
Lineage: Bacteria; Pseudomonadati; Thermodesulfobacteriota; Desulfobulbia; Desulfobulbales; Desulfobulbaceae
Description: bacterial SSU rRNA
Rfam family: Bacterial small subunit ribosomal RNA
Source: RNAcentral
CACAAGCGGUGGAGUAUGUGGUUUAAUUCGAUGCAACGCGAAGAACCUUACCUGGCUUGACAUCCCGGAGACCCUUAGGAAACUAGGGGGUGCUUCCAUCUGGAAGAAUCUGGAGACAGGUGCUGCAUGGCUGUCGUCAGCUCGUGUCGUGAGAUGUUGGGUUAAGUCCCGCAACGAGCGCAACCCUUGCCUUUAGUUGCCAGCAGUUCGGCUGGGCACUCUAAAGGGACUGCCGGUGUUAAACCGGAGGAAGGUGGGGAUGACGUCAAGUCCUCAUGGCCUUUAUGACCAGGGCUACACACGUACUACAAUGGCCGAUACAGAGGGCAGCGACACUGCGAGGUGAAGCCAAUCCCGUAAAAUCGGUCUCAGUCCGGAUUGGAGUCUGCAACUCGACUCCAUGAAGUUGGAAUCGCUAGUAAUCGUGGAUCAGCAUGCCACGGUGAAUACGUUCCCGGGCCUU